RNAcentral lists this ribosomal RNA (403 nucleotides) under uncultured prokaryote. RNAcentral's name for it is "bacterial SSU rRNA". It matches the Rfam family "Bacterial small subunit ribosomal RNA", at positions 355 to 774 of the family's 1533-position model. The record is from RNAcentral.
UAGGGAAUAUUGGACAAUGGGCGAAAGCCUGAUCCAGCAACGCCGCGUGCGCGAUGACGGCCUUCGGGUUGUAAAGCGCUUUUAGAGGAGAUGAGAAAGGACAGUAUCCUCUGAAUAAGCCUCGGCGAACUACGUGCCAGCAGCCGCGGUAAAACGUAGGAGGCUAGCGUUAUCCGGAUUUAUUGGGCGUAAAGCGCGUGCAGGCGGUCUAGUUAGUUGGAUGUGAAAGCUCCUGGCUUAACUGGGAGAGGUCGUUCAAUACUGCUAGACUAGAGAAUGGGAGAGGGAGGUGGAAUUCCGGGUGUAGUGGUGAAAUGCGUAGAUAUCCGGAGGAACACCAGUGGCGAAAGCGGCCUCCUAGACCACUUCUGACGCUAAGACGCGAAAGCUAGGGUAGCAAACG